CACGCAUAGGAUCAAUCACGGAUAACCAUUAUGUUGGUGAUAUCAGCUGUUCGCUUGUGGUCCAAACUCCACGUGCUGUCGCCCAAUUACUGCAGUACGGAGUCGCAGAUAUGGGCAAAUGAGGAUUACUACUGGAUCGAGUCCAUCUAAAAUAACGACGACAGUAGUUUUUAAUGGGCGUUCCAUUCAUCGAGCACCUUCUAAGGUGAGACAUGGGUAGGCCAUCAUCGUAUACAGGAUCUAACGCGAGCUAUAAAGUCUGAAGGAGACAGACUGAUAACACCGUCUGCUGGUCUGUCGUCAAGUUUACUGGCGUAAAUGAGUAACGCGCCUAAACGCAAGAGAGCGGGCCAAACCGUGAAAGUAAUAGAGAAGCUCAAUAUUGGGGUUUCCCUGCCAUGUUUACCCAAGUUACGCAAACGGAAACGGCAAACAGUCGCGUGAACAACAAAGCAAACAGAUGUGAGAUCACGUUUUUGCUAUGCAAAGUACAAUAGUGAUGAAAAUUAAUGACAAACAUAAUAUCGUACGACUCGUGAUUGUUGUGGCAUGAUAUGACGUCACGGAAAAGACCAAAACCGCAUGCAGCGGAGACGCAUAGAAUAGGAACCCGUAUUCUAAUCUGUUCGAAAACU
Ciona intestinalis (vase tunicate) is the source of this 635-nucleotide non-coding RNA. The record is from RefSeq and is a predicted model, not a curated record. Lineage: Eukaryota; Metazoa; Chordata; Ascidiacea; Phlebobranchia; Cionidae.